Molecule: ribosomal RNA, 389 nt
Filed under: uncultured bacterium
Lineage: Bacteria
Description: partial 16S ribosomal RNA
Rfam family: Bacterial small subunit ribosomal RNA
Source: RNAcentral
UGGGGGAUAUUGCACAAUGGAGGAAACUCUGAUGCAGCAACGCCGCGUGAAGGAUGAAGGUCUUCGGAUUGUAAACUUUUGUACUUGGGGACGAUAAUGACGGUACCCAAGCAGCAAGCUCCGGCUAACUACGUGCCAGCAGCCGCGGUAAUACGUAGGGAGCAAGCGUUGUCCGGAUUUACUGGGUGUAAAGGGUGCGUAGGCGGCUAUGCAAGUCAGUUGUGAAAACUAUGGGCUCAACCCAUAGCCUGCAAUUGAAACUGCGUGGCUUGAGUGAAGUAGAGGUAGGUGGAAUUCCCGGUGUAGCGGUGAAAUGCGUAGAGAUCGGGAGGAACACCAGUGGCGAAGGCGACCUACUGGGCUUUAACUGACGCUGAGGCACGAAAGCA